GUUGCCGUAGCACAGCAGCCAAUUGCAAUUAGUGGGAGAGUAUGGUGCCAGCAGCCGCGGUAAUUCCAUCACUGAGAGCUAUUUCUUUCGUUGCUGCAAUUAAAACGUCCGUAGCCGUUGGUAGUUCGCGUGUCACUUUGAGAAAAUCGGAGCGUUCAUAGCAGGCUAGCCGCUGUACAGCACAGCAAAGCACGACAUCGCGGCAGCAAUGCCGCAUGGAGUACAUGGCGGCACGUGGUCAAUUGUAUUCCGGGGGGACAGGCGAAAUAGGAUGAUCCCCGGAGGACACCCAGGAGCGAAGGCAGUUGACAAGUGCCGUCCAGUUGGUCAAGGACGAAAGUGUGGGGAUAGACGAUGAUUAGAUACCGUUUUAUUCCACGCCUUAAACGCUACCAUCUAGACAGCGGGCGCAGUGCUCGCAGUCCCAAGGAAACCGGAAGGCUUCAGGCUUUGGGGGAAGUAUGGUUGCAAGACUGAAACUUGAAAGCAUUGACGGAAAGGUACCACAAGACGUGGAGUCUGCGGCUCAAUUUGACUCAACACGCAAAAUUUACCAGGCCCAGAGGCUUUAUGGAGCGACAGAUUGAGAGUUCUUUUGCGAUUAGGCCGAUAGUGGUGCAUGGCCGCUCCUAGUUCGUGGUGUUAACUGUCUGCUUUAUUGCGAUAACGAGCGAGAUCCCUAGGUUGUAUCAACAACCGAGCGCCAGCGCUGAGUUGGACGAGCGUAGGGGCUCUAGCAGGUCUGUGAUGCCCUUAGAUACCCUGGGCCGCACGCGUACUACAAUGCCGGCGGCAAAACGUUGCAAGACACGAUUGUCGCGCUAUCCACUAACCGCCGGCGUGGUCGGGAUCGGGGCUUGGAAUUGUCCCCCGUGAACGAGGAAUGUCUUGUAAACGCGCGUAAGAAGCGCGCGCUGACUGCGUCCCUG
RNAcentral lists this ribosomal RNA (929 nucleotides) under uncultured euryarchaeote. RNAcentral's name for it is "bacterial SSU rRNA". It matches the Rfam family "Eukaryotic small subunit ribosomal RNA", at positions 519 to 1655 of the family's 1831-position model. Lineage: Archaea; Methanobacteriati; Methanobacteriota. The record is from RNAcentral.